GAAAUGCGAUAAGUAGUGUGAAUUGCAGAAUUCAGUGAAUCAUCGAAUCUUUGAACGCACAUUGCGCCCCUUGGUAUUCCAUGGGGCAUGCUUGUUCGAGCGUCAUUUGUACUCUCAAGCUCUGCUUGGUGUUGGGUGUUUGUCCUUACCUCCGCGUUUGGACUCGCCUUAAAUUUAUUGGCAGCUAAUGUAUUAGUUUGAAGCGCAGCACAAUUUGCGGUUUAGGCUGGUUAUCAUUGGCGUCCACAAAGCACAAUUAACACUUUUGACCUCGGAUCAAGUAAGGAUACCCGCUGAAUUUAA
RNAcentral lists this unclassified non-coding RNA (303 nucleotides) under uncultured fungus. Its description in RNAcentral is "sequence contains ITS1". The stretch from base 1 to 105 matches the Rfam family "5.8S ribosomal RNA", at positions 50 to 154 of the family's 154-position model. Lineage: Eukaryota; Fungi. The record is from RNAcentral.